This is a non-coding RNA of Parathielavia appendiculata, 97 nucleotides long. NCBI's taxonomy places the organism in Eukaryota, Fungi, Ascomycota, Sordariomycetes, Sordariales, Chaetomiaceae. The record is from the annotation of a RefSeq genome assembly.
GCCCGAUUAGCUCAGUUGGUCUAGAGCGUCGUACUAAUACCGGUUAACCCCUGUGUAUGGUAUGCGAAGGUCAACAGUUCAAUCCUGUUAUUGGGCA